Molecule: transfer RNA, 82 nt
Filed under: Trametes cinnabarina
Lineage: Eukaryota; Fungi; Basidiomycota; Agaricomycetes; Polyporales; Polyporaceae
Description: Pycnoporus cinnabarinus tRNA
Rfam family: tRNA
About the family: Transfer RNA (tRNA) molecules are approximately 80 nucleotides in length. Their secondary structure includes four short double-helical elements and three loops (D, anti-codon, and T loops).
Source: Rfam by way of RNAcentral
GUCCCUGUCGAUUAGUGGUCAGAUCGUCACGUUGUGGAACUAGUAGUCCGUGAAGACGGAGGCUCGAAUCCUCCCUGGGACA